This 4347-nucleotide long non-coding RNA is filed under the name Homo sapiens (human). RNAcentral describes it as "non-protein coding lnc-SMAD6-2:2". Lineage: Eukaryota; Metazoa; Chordata; Mammalia; Primates; Hominidae. The record is from RNAcentral.
GGAAACGGCCGUGGGCAUUUUGGUGUAUUUUUAUUCAACUUUGAAAGACAUAUUUUAUUUUUACACAUUUUAUUUUAUACAGUAUAGACAUACAUAUGCAUACACGCCUCCUCUCAUGACAUUAAACUUUUGCACAACUUCACAAUUGUAAAUGAUCACAGAAAAAUGCCUCAAAAUGAAUGUAUCAUAUCCUAGCCCCACCACUUAACCUCUCUGUGCCUCAGUUUUCUCCUCUGUAAAACGGGGAUAAUAAUAGUAUCUACUUUAUAAGUUGCUUGUAAGGGUUCAAUGUGAUUAUGGUGUGAAUGUGGGAAGCGCUCAGAAAGUAUCAUUUUCAUUAUUAUUAGAACUAUUAUUCCUUAAUUGCAAACAUUUAAAUUCUAAUUUUAUUCUAUUGCAAAUGACACUGUAAUGAAUCUCUCUGCUCGGGAGGGUUGUGUGGGAACCUCAGGGAGCUUGCUUCACCCACCCCCGCCCCCCAAAUUAAGCACAACAGGGACAGAGAGAGCGAGGUGUGCUGGGAGGCCCCGUGGCUAAAAGUUAGGAGACCAGAUCUUGGCACUGGCAGCCUGGGGAAGGAGGGCAAAGGGGUGGGGGUGCAGGGAAUGGCAUCUGUGAAAGCUCAGAAGCUUCUAGAAGAGCAUGGGAAGUUCUGAUGUGGUUGCUGGGAUGGCAGUUCUUGUCCCUAUUUGACCUAUGGGUAAUUGAGGGCCAGGAAAGGGGUGACUUGUCUGAUGACGUGGAUGGGCACCAAGUCUGAGCUUCCUGGCUCUCCACAUGCCUGAAAAACAUCUGUGUUUGUUGGGAGAAGGAGAUGAAGAAGAGGAGGAGGAGGAAGAAUUUGGGGCUUUCGAAGCAUGCAUGCCUGUGUGCCCCUGCCCAAUCAAGGUUCAGCUGUCCUGCAAAGCAACCCAGCGGGUCCUGUGAGCUGGAGGCCAGUUUGCCCUGUUUGUCUCCAUGGGUCUUUUCCCUGAUGUCUCCCAAACAGAGACCGUUGGGCUGGCAGCUGGCAGGUCUCCUGAGCUCCACCCUCACCUCCCAUCCCUUCAACCCAGUAGCCUUGCAGACAAAGGCUGGAAAGCCAGGUCCCAUUUCCAGUCAUCAUCCACAGUGCAUAAUUAGGCAGUGCUUGCCUUGUGUUUAUUUAAAGAAGGAGUGUGAACUUGGCAUCAGUGCUUCUGCCAAGAGGGAAGAGCCCCGGAAGGCCCAGAGAAAGCUGGGGGCUUGGGCAGCAGGGGUUUGAGGCCUGAGAGGCCAGGCCGGCCUGUGGUAUAGACAUCGACAAGCAAAGUUUGAGGACUCCUGAAAGUUCUCCAAAAUCUUACCUGCUACCUGUCACCAUUCUCAGUCCGUUAUUAGAACUGUAGCUUCUCAACAGCUUUCUAAGUUCCAAAGAAAAUGCAAAUUAAUACUUCUUGGGGCGCCUCUAUCCUUUAUGGUCUGAAUUUGAGAACAUUGCAAUAGCAGCCUCAUUGCUGCACUAGUCCAAACACUUCUGUGUAACCCUCUUCCACAUGCAGUACUGAGGAGUUCUUGCUGCCUACUGUUUACAGAGGGUAGUCCAAGAAAUAAGAAAUGUCAGUCCCACAUGGUGAAAACUCUGCACUCUAGGGCUUGGGAAUUAUCUGCUAAUAAGACCUGACAUUUCUGAAGGCCAUUAUGAGUUAAACCUCAGGCUCAGAAUGUAUAAUGGGGAGAGAUUCUAGAUACUUCUAGACCACUCUUCUCAUGGAGUAGAAAAAAAUGUAGAGAAACCUCAGAGAGGGGAAGGGACUUACCUACACCAGUUAACGGUAGAGCUAGGACUAGAACACAGGUCUCCUGAUUUCAGUCUCAACUCUCAGGCACCAUGUUGCUUCCCUCCAUUCAAAGAUCAGUGAGGGGGCAGUCAGCACCAGCUGGAGUGUGGCAGUGAAGAGCUCACAGUCCCUGCCCAAGAGGAGCUCCCAGAGGCUGACAAGGGUAUGGGAACAGGGACUCAUCUGAAUCAGAGUGGGUGGAGUUUAGACAGGGGUGGGUCUGAAGAACUGUGGGGAACAGGGUGGUGAGACAGACAUCAGCAAAUUUCCCAAGGGGGUUAGCACAGGAGGUUGAAGGAUGAAUGGGGCUUCUUUACCAGGAGACAUAGGGAAAGGUGUUCCGGGAAAAGGGAAGGGCAAACUCAUGGGAAAAGGAGGCUGAUUUCUCCUGUUCCCAGGUUACAGUGGAUUCCCUGCGGGCUUAACCAGGAUCCCUAGCGCUCAGUGCAGACCCUCCCACGGCAGGGCCCGAGGCUGUAAUCUGUAACCUUAUUGUGACAUAUAUAGUUACAAAGAGAUUGGUUGGACAGGAUGGAUUUUAAUCGAAAAGAGUUAGCCUCUACUGGUGGAAAUGCGGACAUUGUGGCAGGUGAUGAGAAGAAUCCUUUUUGGGGUAGCAGUGGUGAAAACGCUUGCAUGGGUGCGCUGGCAUGCGUGCAGGGACACCUCUUCCUUGUUCUCAAUUCUGUUGACUUUCAAAUUGCAGUUUAAGAGCCAUCUUCCCAUGUCCAACUGUUAAGGUGGCCACUACCCCCUCCCUCUUCUGGACCAUGCCAUCCCCUGCUCUGAGUCUCAGUUUCUCCACAUGUAAAAUGAGGCAGGUGGACUUGCUUGUCUUAAAGGCCCCUUCUGCCUGGGGCUGGUUCUUUAGCCCAGUCUCUGCUUCUCCCUCUGCGGGGAUGUCAGAGGCGCCCUCUCGUGGUCAAUAUUGGCCAUGCAUCCUUGGACUUGGCGCAGGUUUUUGCUUGGCCUCUGAGGGUGUGUGCUUGUGUGUGCAUGUGCGUGUGAGCGUGCCUGUGUACUGGGAGUGGUUACACAGCGGGUGCGUGACAGGCUCAUGACACAUAGAAUGCAGAGCUUCGCUAACUCUCAGACCCUGAUGAAAACACAGAUAAGGAGGUGGGGGUCAUUUAAAAUAAGGGCAAAACCUGCUAAAAGCUUCCUGGGGCCCUUGCCUGGGACACCUAGAGUUCCAAAAUGCCCUAGGCCACCCAUCUUGCUAAUAUACUUUGAGAGCAUCACUCCUCUGCUCAGAAUCUCAUCCUGCCACCCCUCUGCUGAACAGAGUAAACAUCAAACUCCUGGCCCUCCAGAAUACCUGUGGCCUCACUUCUCACUCUUCUUUCCUAUACCACUCCAGGUGAACCACUCCAUCCUUCCCAUCCCCUAUCCUCAGCUUAUGCUGGGAUUUUUUUUCCCAGAGUGUCCUACCCUCUCCUUUAGUCCCCCAUAGCACCUUUCAAGAUGUGGCUAAAAUGCCACCUCCUCCAGGAAGACUCCCUGAAUUUUCCCACUUGGAUCUGUGCUCUCUUUCCUCUGAACCUCCUGGCAACUUUGUCUAUAACUGUCUCCUGGGAUGUAGACAGUUUUAGAGUUUACCCAGGUAAUUUAGGUCGAAGAUGUCCUGUUUUGUUCCCCCUACUCAAAAACUGGCUCCAUGACUGCUUUAUAUCUGGGUCCUUCUAAAUACUGAGCCUUCCCCAUGGCAUCCAGGCAUCCCUCUGCAAGGCCCUGAUUCCCACUCCUUCCCUCUGCCUCCUCCUUCAGUAGGGGCUGCUGUCAUGCAAGGAGGUCUGGCAGUGGAGGAAGAAGACAUGAGCCUUGGGCCAGACUCUUACUGGAUUCCCACCCCACCUGCCCCGUCUUCAGCAGACAAGCUGGUACCCAGCACAAAGGCUCCAGCUGCUGAGCUGUGUGUGGGAGCCUGGUCUCUGGGUGCCCAGAAUGAAGGGUCAGACCCAGGUCACUGCCUGACUCUUUCUUUCAAGGACCGAAGUAAGAACUACAGGCCUAACAGUAACAUCCCUGGCUAUUUGUAGAAGUCCGCUUGGUCGGUCCAUGCUCUAUAACAUGAAUUUCUCAUACAACCCAUUUUUAGAUGGGGAAACAAGAGCUCAGAGAGGCUAGGUAACUUGUUCAAGAUCACACAGCUCUGAGUGCAAGUGUUCAAACAUAGUCCCCACUUUCCAUCCGUCUCCAAAUCCUGUGCAGUUUCUGGAAUAUUCUGCUGUCACUGUGCCUUGCACAAAUCCAGGUUUUGAUAAAUUCCUGGAUAAUAAAAGGCAGACAUGAGUCAACAUAUAACCAGCUCUUUCUCUUUGACUUCCAUAUUGCCCCAGGCCCACACGCGGACCUCUGCAUGAGGGAAGAGUGACAGAACUGGGUUUGUCUGAGAGGGUGAUGGCUCGGGGGGCCAAAGGGAGAGGUGAACCCUGCAUCCCAGGAGGGGUGAAUUCUCUGAUGUGAAUCAUCUGGGUGGUAGGGAGUAAUGGGUCCUGGGCAUGGUGGGGACUGUCACACCCUGAUGCGCUGUCCCAGUUAGGUUGGA